RNAcentral lists this ribosomal RNA (253 nucleotides) under uncultured bacterium. RNAcentral's name for it is "partial 16S ribosomal RNA". It matches the Rfam family "Bacterial small subunit ribosomal RNA", at positions 524 to 776 of the family's 1533-position model. The record is from RNAcentral.
UACAGAGGGUGCGAGCGUUGUCCGGAAUCACUGGGCGUAAAGGGCGCGUAGGCGGCUUGAUAAGGUUGCGGUGAAAGCCCGGGGCUCAACCCCGGGUCGGCCGUGGCAACUGUCGAGCUGGAGCACUGUAGAGGCAGGUGGAAUUCCAGGUGUAGCGGUGAAAUGCGUAGAUAUCUGGAGGAACACCGGUGGCGAAGGCGGCAUCCUGGACCGGCAUUGACGCUGAGGAGCGAAAGCCAGGGGAGCAAACGGG